GAUGAACGCUGGCGGCGUGCCUAAUACAUGCAAGUCGAGCGGAGCGGGGACGGGUGAGUAACACGUGGAUAACCUGCUAUAAGACGGGGAUAACCUAGGGGAACCGGAGCUAAACCGGCUACUGAUAGAUGGAUGCGUGCUGCAUUAGCUAGUGGGUAGGGUAACGGCUUACCAAGGCAACGAUGCAUAGCCGACCUGAGAGGGUGAUCGGCCACACUGGAACUGAGACACGGUCCAGACUCCUACGGGAGGCAGCAGUGGGGAAUCUUCCGCAAUGGGCGAAAGCCUGACGGAGCCAUGCCGCGUGAGUGAUGAAGGGCUUCGGGUCGUAAAGCACUGUUAGUGGGGAAGCGGUACCUACUCAAGAAGCAACGGCUAACUCCGUGCCAGCAGCCGCGGUAAUAC
RNAcentral lists this ribosomal RNA (405 nucleotides) under uncultured bacterium. Its description in RNAcentral is "partial 16S ribosomal RNA". It matches the Rfam family "Bacterial small subunit ribosomal RNA", at positions 28 to 526 of the family's 1533-position model. The record is from RNAcentral.